GACAAUUAUGGCGUCAGUAGAAACAGUUAAAGUAGAGGAUCUAGAAAAUGAAGAGGAAGUUAAAUUUUUCUGGGGUAGAAAGAGAGGUAUUGGUGGUAAGAGGAAGGAGGUUCAGUUUUAUGAAUCUUUUACCUAUGAUGAUGUGGAGUAUGCUCUAUAUGAUUGUGUAUACAUGCACAAGGAAGGUCAACUUCCUUACAUUGGUAAAAUCAUAAAGAUAUGGCAAAACCCAGAUAAGUCCAGGAAGAUAAAGGUACACUGGUUUUUCCGGCAAUCGGAGAUCUUGUAUCACCUGAAAGGUGUAAAAGUGGCAGCUGAGAAUGAAGUAUUUCUUGCCUCUGGUGAUGGCACUGGUUUGGCUAAUGUCAAUCCAUUGGUGAGCAUCGUAAAAGUGCUUUCUCUUUUUGCAUUUUCUUUUUCUCUGCUUUUACCUUAGAUUAAAAUAGGAAUUAACUAUGUAGAAUUACUUAAACCAUUUUGUUUUUGAUGAUGUGGAGUAUUUUCUAUAUGAUUGUGUAUACAUGCACAAUGAAGGUCAACUUCCUUACAUUGGUAAAAUCAUAAAGAUAUGGGAAAACCCAGAUAAGUCCAAGAAGAUAAAGGU
This 604-nucleotide long non-coding RNA is filed under the name Nicotiana benthamiana. RNAcentral describes it as "long non-coding RNA (NBEN_LNC018299)". Lineage: Eukaryota; Viridiplantae; Streptophyta; Magnoliopsida; Solanales; Solanaceae. The record is from RNAcentral.